This 395-nucleotide ribosomal RNA is filed under the name uncultured bacterium. RNAcentral describes it as "partial 16S ribosomal RNA". It matches the Rfam family "Bacterial small subunit ribosomal RNA", at positions 523 to 918 of the family's 1533-position model. The record is from RNAcentral.
AUACGUAGGGUGCAAGCGUUAAUCGGAAUUACUGGGCGUAAAGCGUGCGCAGGCGGUUUUGUAAGACAGUGGUGAAAUCCCCGGGCUCAACCUGGGAACUGCCAUUGUGACUGCAAGGCUGGAGUGCGGCAGAGGGGGAUGGAAUUCCGCGUGUAGCAGUGAAAUGCGUAGAUAUGCGGAGGAACACCGAUGGCGAAGGCAAUCCCCUGGGCCUGCACUGACGCUCAUGCACGAAAGCGUGGGGAGCAAACAGGAUUAGAUACCCUGGUAGUCCACGCCCUAAACGAUGUCAACUGGUUGUUGGGGAUUUAUUUUCUCAGUAACGAAGCUAACGCGUGAAGUUGACCGCCUGGGGAGUACGGCCGCAAGGCUUAAACUCAAAGGAAUUGACGGGG